This 253-nucleotide ribosomal RNA is filed under the name uncultured bacterium. RNAcentral describes it as "partial 16S ribosomal RNA". It matches the Rfam family "Bacterial small subunit ribosomal RNA", at positions 524 to 776 of the family's 1533-position model. The record is from RNAcentral.
UACAGAGGGGGCAAGCGUUGUUCGGAAUUACUGGGCGUAAAGGGCGCGUAGGCGGCCUUCUAAGUCGAACGUGAAAUCCCUGGGCUCAACCCAGGAACUGCGUCCGAUACUGGAAGGCUUGAAUCCGGGAGAGGGAUGCGGAAUUCCAGGUGUAGCGGUGAAAUGCGUAGAUAUCGUGAGGAAGACCGGUGGCGAAGGCGGAUCUCUGGACAGUUCCUGACGCUGAGGCGCGAAGGCCAGGGGAGCAAACGGG